This 725-nucleotide ribosomal RNA is filed under the name uncultured bacterium. RNAcentral describes it as "bacterial SSU rRNA". It matches the Rfam family "Bacterial small subunit ribosomal RNA", at positions 771 to 1501 of the family's 1533-position model. The record is from RNAcentral.
AACAGGAUUAGAUACCCUGGUAGUCCACGCCCUAAACGAUGUCAACUGGUUGUCGGGUCUUCAUUGACUUGGUAACGUAGCUAACGCGUGAAGUUGACCGCCUGGGGAGUACGGUCGCAAGAUUAAAACUCAAAGGAAUUGACGGGGACCCGCACAAGCGGUGGAUGAUGUGGAUUAAUUCGAUGCAACGCGAAAAACCUUACCUACCCUUGACAUGUACGGAAUUCCGCUGAGAGGUGGAAGUGCCCGAAAGGGAGCCGUAACACAGGUGCUACAUGGCUGUCGUCAGCUCGUGUCGUGAGAUGCUGGGUUAAGUCCCGCAACGAGCGCAACCCUUGUCCCUAGUUGCUACGCAAGAGCACUCCAGGGAGACUGCCGGUGACAAACCGGAGGAAGGUGGGGAUGACGUCAAGUCCUCAUGGCCCUUAUGGGUAGGGCUUCACACGUCAUACAAUGGUCGGAACAGAGGGUUGCCGAGCCGCGAGGUGGAGCCAAUCCCAGAAAACCGAUCGUAGUCCGGAUCGCAGUCUGCAACUCGACUGCGUGAAGCUGGAAUCGCUAGUAAUCGCGGAUCAGCAUGCCGCGGUGAAUACGUUCCCGGGUCUUGUACACACCGCCCGUCACACCAUGGGAGUGGGUUUUGCCAGAAGUGGCUAGUCUGACCGCAAGGAGGACGGUCACCACGGCAGGAUUCAUGACUGGGGUGAAGUCGUAACAAGGUAACC